RNAcentral lists this unclassified non-coding RNA (245 nucleotides) under uncultured Sordariales. Its description in RNAcentral is "sequence contains ITS2". The record is from RNAcentral. Lineage: Eukaryota; Fungi; Ascomycota; Sordariomycetes; Sordariales.
AACGCACAUUGCGCCCGCUAGUAUUCUGGCGGGCAUGCCUGUUCGAGCGUCAUUUCAACCAUCAAGCCCCUGUGCUUGUGUUGGAGCCCUGCGGCUGCCGCAGGCUCCCAAACCCAGUGGCGGGCUCGUCGUCGUACCGAGUGCAGUAAACAUCCUCGCUCAGGGAACGCGCCGGGACUCCUGCCGUGAAACACCCCCCCCUCAAGGUUGACCUCGGAUCAGGUAGGAAUACCCGCUGAACUUAA